GACGAACGCUGGCGGCGUGCUUAAUACAUGCAAGUCAACUGAACUUAAAGUAGCAAUAUUUUGAGGGAGGUGGCGCACGGGUGAGUAACACGUAGGUAAUCUGCCUUUAGGUCUGACAUAAUUCCGCGAAAGCGGGACUAAUAUCAGAUGAUGCAGCGGCUCGACAUCGAGACAGUUUGUUAAACCUUCGGGGCCUAAAGAUGAGCCUGCGUCUGAUUAGGUAGNGGCGGAGUAAAAGCCCACCAAGCCUGCGAUCAGUAGCUGGU
RNAcentral lists this ribosomal RNA (266 nucleotides) under uncultured bacterium. Its description in RNAcentral is "partial 16S ribosomal RNA". It matches the Rfam family "Bacterial small subunit ribosomal RNA", at positions 28 to 291 of the family's 1533-position model. The record is from RNAcentral.